GACGAACGCUGGCGGCGUGCCUAACACAUGCAAGUCGAACGGAGUUGCCCUUCGGGACAACUUAGUGGCGAACGGGUGAGUAACGCGUGAGAAACCUGCCUUUCAGUGGGGGACAACAGUUGGAAACGACUGCUAAUACCGCAUAACAUAUUCGGGGGGCAUCCCCUGAAUAUCAAAGCUUAAUGUGCUGAAAGAUGGUCUCGCGUCUGAUUAGCUAGAUGGCGGGGUAACGGCCCACCAUGGCGACGAUCAGUAGCCGGUCUGAGAGGAUGAACGGCCACAUUGGGACUGAGAUACGGCCCAG
This 304-nucleotide ribosomal RNA is filed under the name uncultured bacterium. Its description in RNAcentral is "bacterial SSU rRNA". It matches the Rfam family "Bacterial small subunit ribosomal RNA", at positions 28 to 334 of the family's 1533-position model. The record is from RNAcentral.